This 581-nucleotide ribosomal RNA is filed under the name Meyerozyma caribbica. RNAcentral describes it as "eukaryotic LSU rRNA". It matches the Rfam family "Eukaryotic large subunit ribosomal RNA", at positions 53 to 650 of the family's 3401-position model. The record is from RNAcentral. Lineage: Eukaryota; Fungi; Ascomycota; Pichiomycetes; Serinales; Debaryomycetaceae.
GAGGAAAAGAAACCAACAGGGAUUGCCUUAGUAGCGGCGAGUGAAGCGGCAAAAGCUCAAAUUUGAAAUCUGGCACCUUCGGUGUCCGAGUUGUAAUUUGAAGAUUGUAACCUUGGGGUUGGCUCUUGUCUAUGUUUCUUGGAACAGGACGUCACAGAGGGUGAGAAUCCCGUGCGAUGAGAUGCCCAAUCCUAUGUAAGGUGCUUUCGAAGAGUCGAGUUGUUUGGGAAUGCAGCUCUAAGUGGGUGGUAAAUUCCAUCUAAAGCUAAAUAUUGGCGAGAGACCGAUAGCGAACAAGUACAGUGAUGGAAAGAUGAAAAGAACUUUGAAAAGAGAGUGAAAAAGUACGUGAAAUUGUUGAAAGGGAAGGGUUUGAGAUCAGACUCGAUAUUUUGUGAGCCUUGCCUUCGUGGCGGGGUGACCCGCAGCUUAUCGGGCCAGCAUCGGUUUGGGCGGUAGGAUAAUGGCGUAGGAAUGUGACUUUGCUUCGGUGAAGUGUUAUAGCCUGCGUUGAUGCUGCCUGCCUAGACCGAGGACUGCGAUUUUAUCAAGGAUGCUGGCAUAAUGAUCCCAAACCGCCG